This 71-nucleotide transfer RNA is filed under the name Cyanobacteria bacterium UBA11372. Its description in RNAcentral is "tRNA-Gly". It matches the Rfam family "tRNA". From Rfam's summary of the family: Transfer RNA (tRNA) molecules are approximately 80 nucleotides in length. RNAcentral also lists the same sequence under 6 other names. The record is from RNAcentral. Lineage: Bacteria; Bacillati; Cyanobacteriota.
GCGGGCGUGGUAUAAUGGUAAUACCUUAGCCUUCCAAGCUAAAGACGCGGGUUCGAUUCCCGCCGCCCGCU